GGUCAGAGGUGGAUAGUUGAGCCCACGGGGAAAAUGGCCAUUGAGAUGCUUGUAGAAACUCAAGAACAUCUCCAAAAGGGCAGAGAGGGUGCCUUUCCCAUUUUCCAUUCAUAUCAGUAGCUCCUGUUCUAACCUGAUGUCAAGCACACAGAUGGUGCUCAGGGAAUAUGUGCAUGAUCACAAAAUGCUGAAGUCAGGAGAUGGGGAGAAAAGUAAAACAAAAGAAGGAAGGCUAAAUAGGAACAAGAAAUUCAAAGAAGCACAAAAGAAAGCAGAGGUGCCUGGGAACUGCACUGGGCCACGAGCUGGGCAAAGGGAGCCAGUGGGAGAUUCUGGCUCAGAACGUUGGGGUAGUUGCCCAGCUGGCUUGAACCUGUCAAAGUAGACCUGAGGGUUGGCUUCUGAAACCCAGCCAGAAGCGGUGCUUGGUUUUUGUUUUAACCUAGAAGAUUGGGGUUGAAAGAAUUUGCUUGGGAGCCUUGGAGUAAUACAGAUUGGAAUAGAAAUGUCAGAUUUGACAAAACAAGGAGAAAAGUGGCCUAGUUGUUCUGUGUUUUUAUCUAUACCUCAUCUUUAUCUGCAUGUUCCCUCAUGCUGUGGCAAGUCAUUUGUGUACUUCACACAGCUACCAAAUGGCAUCAACCAUGUUUUAGAAUCAAAAGGAAAUCCUUCAUUUCCUUUGGAUGGUGGGACCACAGAAAUACUCAACAGUGAACUCACACAACCCUCUGCUUCUGGUGAGCCUAGUUUUUUCCAUAAUCAUAAACUUUGACAAUUCUUUUUGAUUUAAGGACACCAACUCCCUCUGCUUACACAUCAUGAGGCCCAGAAGUGACCCCAAGCAUUGAAAAUGUCCAGUACUGAGAUUGCAGGAACAGAAUGUGAACACUGAAUAUUCUGCAUAAUCUUAGGAUGGAGCCUCCAGAAUUCUCCAGAAGAAGUGACAGUAAAGAUGGGAAAGCUUCAAGUCCAUGUCUUCCCUUACCUGUAUUGCACAGCCUGCAGAGCACGGCCAGCCAGCCCAUAGGACAGGAAGGACUCCGCGCCUGGGGGUAUGAAGUGGAUGGGGAAAGUGAAGAAACCCAGCUGGAGGACUCCCAUGUCGUAUUUGCGCAGCUUUGCCGUGU
This is a long non-coding RNA of Neofelis nebulosa (Clouded leopard), 1127 nucleotides long. RefSeq lists it as uncharacterized. Lineage: Eukaryota; Metazoa; Chordata; Mammalia; Carnivora; Felidae. The record is from RefSeq and is a predicted model, not a curated record. The transcript is spliced from 3 exons.